Eleginops maclovinus (Patagonian blennie) is the source of this 355-nucleotide long non-coding RNA. RefSeq lists it as uncharacterized. NCBI's taxonomy places the organism in Eukaryota, Metazoa, Chordata, Actinopteri, Perciformes, Eleginopidae. The transcript is spliced from 4 exons. The record is from RefSeq and is a predicted model, not a curated record.
AAAACUUAGCCAUCCAAAUAUCCAUAGACUCUAAUGUUGUGGAGGACCCAUAGGCUUUUGGACAACUCUACCGCAUGGAUAUAGACUACUUCGCCACCAUGAAAGACAGGAAAAUGGCCUUCCUCUAAAAAUGGUGGCUCUAUCAGGAGCGGGUGCUUCCUGAUGAAGAUAAGGAUGUUGAUAAUAUGUCGGCACUCCGAGCCAAAAGACCGAAAGGCUGUUUUUAAGAGUUGAUCGCCCGGGUGGACACCGGAUGUUGCUGCCGAUGAAAAUAAGUUCCAAUCAACCAAUCAACCAAUCAACCAACCGGCCAAGUAACCAGCCAACCAACCAACCAACCUGCCAACCAGCCAAU